Molecule: long non-coding RNA, 1621 nt
Organism: Oncorhynchus keta (chum salmon)
Lineage: Eukaryota; Metazoa; Chordata; Actinopteri; Salmoniformes; Salmonidae
Exons: 3
Source: RefSeq, a predicted model, not a curated record
GUUGUGUUGUCAUGUUGUAUUGUAGUAACCCUCAACUGUAUUUAAUGGUGUUAUGUAGUUGUGUUGUCAUGUUGUAUUGUAGUAACCCUCAACUGUAUUUAAUGGUGUUAUGUAGUUGUGUUGUCAUGUUGUAUUGUAGUAACCCUCAACUGUAUUUAAUGGUGUUAUGUAGUUGUGUUGUCAUGUUGUAUUGUAGUAACCCUCAACUGUAUUUAAUGUUGUUAUGUAGUUGUGUUGUCAUGUUGUAUUGUAGUAACCCUCAACUGUAUUUAAUGGUGUUAUGUAGUUGUGUUGUCAUGUUGUAUUGUAGUAACCCUCAACUGUAUUUAAUGGUGUUAUGUAGUUGUGUUGUCAUGUUGUAUUGUAGUAACCCUCAACUGUAUUUAAUGGUGUUAUGUAGUUGUGUUGUCAUGUUGUAUUGUAGUAACCCUCAACUGUAUUUAAUGGUGUUAUGUAGUUGUGUUGUCAUGUUGUAUUGUAGUAACCCUCAACUGUAUUUAAUGGUGUUAUGUAGUUGUGUUGUCAUGUUGUAUUGUAGUAACCCUCAACUGUAUUUAAUGGUGUUAUGUAGUUGUGUUGUCAUGUUGUAUUGUAGUAACCCUCAACUGUAUUUAAUGGUGUUAUGUAGUAGUGUUGUCAUGUUGUUAAUGUUGUAUUCUAGAAGGCCUAACCCUCAACAUUUUCUGGUGAUGGAGAGAGACACAGACGAGACACAGAGACAGCAACAGAAAAGGAUGUGAUGGAGAGAGACACCAAACAAGACACAGAGACAGCAACAGACGACACAGAGAAAGUGAUGGAGAGAGACAGAAGAAUAGAGUUCCAGACAGUUGUAGAAUGUAUGCCAAGGCACAUUGUAAGAGCUAUAAAGAGAGAGGGAGUGGGAGAGAGAACAGGCAGAACCUGAUAUGUAAAUGAGCAGAGCAAAUGAAACUCACUUUUGACGACCUGAUGAUCAUUCCAGACUGUGUUUCUAUUGAGAGAUAAAAGGCUGGUUGAAUGAGUUGCCUAUGAAAGCUACUUCAUCUGUAAGAAAACAGGCGUCUGCACCAGUGACUGUAAGUUAUGUGAUUUCCUCAUAUGAAAUUAAAAGUAUGUUUGUAGCCUACGCAGUUAUAAAAUGGCUGUUGAAACUGUGACACAUAUUUCUCAGUACAUUAGAAGUCAGAUAAAUGUGUUGAGACGUAGGAAAGAUGGGCAAACUCUCGUUGGUCUUGGCUUUCUACACACUAUUAUAAGGUUAGUCGAUGUCAGACAUUCAAUAGUCAGAGUAGGUUGGAGUUAUGAUCACUUAUCAUGCUGACAAACCUGAUGGUCUCUGUGAACUGAUCUGAACAGGUUUAGACUGGUCAUCUAUGAUAUGUAGGUUAUAUACAGUACAUUCUCUGUCCUGCUACUGGAAGGACUAUAACAUUAUGUGAACUGAUCUGAACAGGUUUAGACUGGUCAUCUAUGAUAUGUAGGUUAUAUACAGUACAUUCUCUGUCCUGCUACUGGAAGGACUAUAACAUUAUGUGAACUGAUCUGAACAGGUUUAGACUGGUCAUCUAUGAUAUGUAGGUUAUAUACAGUACAUUCUCUGUCCUGCUACUGGUAGGACUAUAACAUUAUGUGAACUGAU